This is a long non-coding RNA of Drosophila ananassae, 279 nucleotides long. RefSeq lists it as uncharacterized. The record is from RefSeq and is a predicted model, not a curated record. The transcript is spliced from 2 exons. NCBI's taxonomy places the organism in Eukaryota, Metazoa, Arthropoda, Insecta, Diptera, Drosophilidae.
CUUAAAACCCGAUUUAAAAUGCUAAAUUUUUGAUUUAAAAUUGAAAAGGCAAAAACAUGAGUCGGACUAUUUAUUUAUACUUAAUUAUAUGUAUCAUUACAGUAGUUGUUUUUUGGGAAAAACUUGAAAAGAAACGAGAAAAGGAUAAAUACAAGGAAAAGCCAGUAAAAAAGGAAAAGAUUUGUGCGUGUUUAUAAUGUAUUUAGUAUCCUCAUAUGUUUAUAAAAAUAUUUUUUCUAAGAUUUCAUAUAUUUCCAAUAAAAUCUUAAACAAAUUUUA